This 269-nucleotide long non-coding RNA is filed under the name Lathyrus oleraceus (garden pea). Its description in RNAcentral is "Pisum sativum (pea) long non-coding RNA (PSAT_LNC005366)". Lineage: Eukaryota; Viridiplantae; Streptophyta; Magnoliopsida; Fabales; Fabaceae. The record is from RNAcentral.
UUUUCUUGAUUUUUAAUUCAGAAAAGAAAAGUGGCCAUGCAAUCGAUUGGUCCUCCCUGGAAAACGAAAAAGAAAAAACACCUCACUCCUCAAUAAUACUCUCUCUGCUCUCAAAGGCCACGCGACCUCCCAAUCUCCACUCACUCUUCAUAUGCCUCUCACUAAAAACAGAAAAAGAAAAUAAAGAAAAGAGGAAGGAGGACUGUUCCUUUUCCUCUUAAAAAACACUUCGUCUCUCACGUCGUACGAAAUCGACCAUCCGCCACCAA